UUUCUUGAUUCAUUAACAAUGAAGCAAAUAUACAACAAAAUUGGUGUUCGGUGGGUUACAUUUAACGCUAAUUAAUUGACCAAUUCAUUUUGUUCAAGAUUAACUACUUUUAAGUACUAGCAUGGAUUAUAUUUUGACAAAAAAAAGGUUUCGACAAAAAAAACCGUCGCAGUGUUGUGACGUCAAUAUUGCUGGUAUUUGCGGACGUAUUUUUAUCAAAUAUUUCGUGAAUAUUAUAUAAAUAUACUGUUUUAUCUUAGCUGUUUUCUACAUGACUGGCUUGUUUUCCUGCUAUAUGAUUACUUUGAUUGUUUUUGCCUCAAUUUUCGUCUCGUACAUCGAUACGAAAUCCUACUUAGCCCACUUAAGCCCCCUUUAUUUAAACAGUUCAACGACUUGAGGUAAAUGGCGGCAAAUAUUACUGAUUGUGUAAAAUUAAUCUCAUUUUCAAAAUAUAUUAUAAAUCCUUCAACGUCUUCAAAAUAUACCAGCAACUGCGCUAUCCAACACUAAGUACAAAAACAAUUAUUCUUUGCCGUGAUAAGUAUGUACUGGAAAUAUUCAGAAACAUAAUUAGUUUAUGUUGAGGAACGUAUAACAAGUCCAUCGCUAAGCGAAGAACCAUCGCCAAAAGAGAACAAGAAGAGAAUGGAAGAGACGAAAAUUUGUAUAAACACAUAUGUAUUCUUACCGCCGCUGCGACGGAAUUUUUCAUUACCAAAUAGACAUUGAACUGUACGAGAACAAAAUAAAUACAGUCCACUAAAAUCAAAUCCGUCGAGCAUAUUAUUCGCGAACAGUUUACAUAAAAAACAAAAUUUUUAAGCAAGAGAAGUCCUAUCGCUCCUUGGGCAGAUCUUGAAUAUAUUUCUGCGCGAUACAUUGAGAAGCUUUUAACGCACCUAAAGGCUAAGGAGAAUGUGUACAUAUGUGCUCUCCAGCUACUUGUCGUCCAACGAGUCUCUAUAACUGGCUCCGUUCUAAACCAUCUCCUGCAAUUAUCUUGCAGAACCAUCAGAUUCCUGCAGUCGGAAGACUGUCCGUCAAUCAAACUCGGAGGAAUACGGCUGAUGAAGUCCGUGGCUUGCUUCAGUAUGGGUCUGGCAUUCAUGAGAAUCGAAUAACGAUCACACUCACACAUUCACAUCAAUGUGGAUGACAAUGAGCUGUUGCCCAAGAUCUCGGCCAAAUUGGAUCUGCUUUCGUACGUUCUGCAACAGACGCAUGUGCACGGCUUUGUGAAAAUGGCCGAACUGCAUCAUAUACUUUGGAAGAAGCUGGCGAUCGUGCCCCCAAGGAGAUCAUCAUCCAGCAGGAACGCGUGACGUUUUAUAAUCAGUUAAUCCUCUUCCAUAUGCUGCCGCUACUGUUCGCCAUUAAAUAUGCCCACAGGCAGGCGGACGAGGCUUCUCGCACUGAACUGUUCGACGCUUACGUUCUGAAAUUAAUGGAAAUGUCGUGUGAGCAGAUAUUGGCAGAUGGUCUGUUCACGCCAGAGUUAGCCAACAAGUGGACCAGGCGUAAAAGCUCGUGCAGCUGGCUAUGGAGCAUUUCCCAUCGCCGAACAUGGCGUUGCUGGUAGUCAAUCUGCAGGGCUCUGCCUUGGUUUGCCUGGGUCCCACUAUUGUCAAGCGCAUGCAUGAUACCAAUGCAUUUCGGCCAAUGAAAAUAGUCAAAAAUGAAAUGAGAAAAUUAUUGGACGAAAAAUCGUCAUCGACCUGCACCCUAACAAUAGAACGGAGCUGCGAACGUUUUCCGGAAAUAUACCAAAUAGUAUGGUAUAUAUAUUUACUUUACGGAAAAAUACUAUAAAAUAUUACCGCGGCCACACUAUCCUAAACUCUUCCCGAAAAACAAUGAAAAGAAAUGUGUUACACUUGGCUUGUUUCCCAGAGGGCAACGCCGGCUAGCUGUGUGAAUAGGGUUUGGGGGUUUUUACGUGGUGCAUGAGACCAAAUGUGUGGCACGCACUGGAAGGCGAUGCAACGAACGUGCGAUGUGGCUAGGAUCGCCCUGCCAGCUAAAUCGUCGUCCGCCCCCAUCACAUGUCUCGCGCUUCUUGGUUCACACACGCGCAACUGGCACAAACUCACUCAGGUUCACGUUGGACAGUCUUCUUCUCUGCAGUCGACUUUCUCGAACUCCAGUGUUCCUCUCCAGAAACCUUCUGGCCCGGUUCUGGUGGCUAUAUCCCUUCCGGCUUAACGGCAGUAAAUGAAAAUAUUUGCAUCUACUAGAGCUGGUCGACACCAACGGAAAUUUUUAGGGACCCUCGCAAAUCAGCAGUAUAAUCUAUACGAUAUUAAUAUAUAUGUAUAAGUACGAGUAUAUACAAGUUAUUUUAGGGUGGCUUAUAUUUUCUUGUUUUAAUAUUCAUUGGUUGUUUUAGUUAUAUUUUAUAUAGUUAUAUAUAUAUAUAUAUAUAUAUGUUUUUUUUUUGUUAGCCCGUGCUUGAUUUAUAUUAACAUUUGCGGUGUGUAUGAAGUCAAAAAUGUAUUUGUAGAAUUCGAUAGGUUCGUUCUUAAAGAAUCGGUAGAUAUCGGUAUCGCGACAUUUGAAAAUCAGAUGUGAAGAAUUUUCUCUUCAUAAGUUACUUUCAUUCUAGCCAGCGAAACUUGACUAUUCCAAGACCACUUAGAACCCAAUUGAUUUGUAUAAAUCAAUAAACCAAUUUUAUAAACGGCUAAUACGAAUGUUUGCGGAAGUGGCAAAGGUAAUAGCCCUAUGAAUGGCUAUUAGCUCAGCUGACAGUGACGAUAACUUUUUACAUGUCUUGCUUCAUUAUAAAGCACAGCCGAUACAAAUUUGACUUGAACUAAUGCCCAGAAGAAAGCGUUUUCGACCUCAUAAAGUAUAUAUAUAUAUAUAUAUAUAUACAUAUAUGUGUGUGUAUAUAUAUAUUGUCGAUCACCAGGGUGCCGAAUCUAUAUAAGCUCAAAUUAUUAAUAUGGCGAGAAGGAACAAAUCAGUUUGUAGUGGCUACACAACGCCGUCCACGCGCUUACUUUUUUUCUGUCUAUCUCUCAAACACUCAUCGAGUGUCAGGUAUAAGUGGUGGUAGUAAGUGGUAAGUGGUAAGUGGUAGAGUCGCGGUCGCAGCUGCGACUCACAACGUUACCUCGUCUUGUUGUGAAUCUGUAAUUUUCUUAUUUAAUAUAAGCAACUACAUAUUAUAUUCACUUAUUGUUCUAUAGUAUAUGAAAAAAGGUUCAAACACACUAGUCCAAAUGGUGAUGGCAGGAAUUGGAGAGAUCUGAGGUCGCUCCGCGGCCGGCGCGCAUCACCACCCUGAAUAACUCUUCUACAUAUAUUUAUGUACAUAUGUAUUAGUUUAUACACCUGUAGAUAUUAAAUGUUUUUUCCUGUGGCAUACAUAAUUUGAAUAUAUGAGAUACCGGAAUGAUUAAUGUACAGAAUUAUCAUACUUACUAUAAUGAUGACUCGUUCUCUCUCUCUCUUCUUUGUUCAGUGUGGCGCACUCUGGCGGAUUGAAAGAGGGAGAGAGAGAGAGCUCUAGGGUUCUGUGGUUCUGCAGUGGCAGAGAAGCAAUAGAAUUGUACGACAACUCUUCGUGUUGGUGAUUCUGAAAAUAACUACCUCCAAGCAUAUGUUCUCUGUCCUCUCAGUCUAGUUUU
This is a long non-coding RNA of Drosophila pseudoobscura, 3635 nucleotides long. RefSeq lists it as uncharacterized. NCBI's taxonomy places the organism in Eukaryota, Metazoa, Arthropoda, Insecta, Diptera, Drosophilidae. The transcript has 3 exons. The record is from RefSeq and is a predicted model, not a curated record.